RNAcentral lists this transfer RNA (67 nucleotides) under uncultured Saccharofermentans sp. It matches the Rfam family "tRNA". From Rfam's summary of the family: Transfer RNA (tRNA) molecules are approximately 80 nucleotides in length. Lineage: Bacteria; Bacillati; Bacillota; Clostridia; Eubacteriales; Oscillospiraceae. The record is from RNAcentral.
AACUUAGCUCAGUUGGUAGAGCAGCUGAUUUGUAAUCAGCAGGUCGUGGGUUCGAGUCCCACAAUUG